Molecule: ribosomal RNA, 542 nt
Filed under: uncultured Pseudomonadota bacterium
Lineage: Bacteria; Pseudomonadati; Pseudomonadota
Description: bacterial SSU rRNA
Rfam family: Bacterial small subunit ribosomal RNA
Source: RNAcentral
AGAGUUUGAUCCUGGCUCAGAACGAACGCUGGCGGCGUGCCUAACACAUGCAAGUCGAGCGAGAAAAGGGGGGCAACUCCCUGAGUACAGCGGCGCACGGGUGAGUAACACGUAGGUAAUCUCCCCUCGAGCCCGGAAUAACCUACCGAAAGGUGGGCUAAUACCGGAUAUGACCACGGAAGUUUCGGCUUCUGCGGUGAAAGAUGGCCUCUAUUUAUAAGCUAUCACUCAAGGAUGAGCCUGCGUGCCAUUAGCUAGUUGGUGGGGUAAUGGCCCACCAAGGCUAUGAUGGCUAGCUGGUCUGAGAGGAUGGCCAGCCACACUGGGACUGAAACACGGCCCAGACUCCUACGGGAGGCAGCAGUGGGGGAUAUUGCGCAAUGGGCGAAAGCCUGACGCAGCGACGCCGCGUGGGUGAUGAAGGCCUUCGGGUCGUAAAGCCCUGUCGAGGGGGACGAAUCGGUUGCGACCUAACACGUCGUGAUCUUGACGGGACCCCUAAAAGGAAGCACCGGGCUAACUACGUGCCAGCAGCCGCGGUA